RNAcentral lists this ribosomal RNA (468 nucleotides) under uncultured bacterium. RNAcentral describes it as "partial 16S ribosomal RNA". It matches the Rfam family "Bacterial small subunit ribosomal RNA", at positions 28 to 507 of the family's 1533-position model. The record is from RNAcentral.
GACGAACGCUGGCGGCGUGCUUAACACAUGCAAGUCGAACGGAAAGGCCCUGCUUUUGUGGGGUGCUCGAGUGGCGAACGGGUGAGUAACACGUGAGUAUCCUGCCCUUGACUUUGGGAUAACUUCAGGAAACUGGGGCUAAUACCGGAUAGGAGCUCCUGCUGCAUGGUGGGGGUUGGAAAGUUUCGGCGGUUGGGGAUGGACUCGCGGCUUAUCAGCUUGUUGGUGGGGUAGUGGCUUACCAAGGCUUUGACGGGUAGCCGGCCUGAGAGGGUGACCGGCCACAUUGGGACUGCGAUACGGCCCAGACUCCUACGGGAGGCAGCGGGCGGGAAUAUUGCACAAUGGGCGGAAGCCUGAUGCAGCAACGCCGCGUGCGGGAUGACGGCCUUCGGGUGGUAAACCGCUUUCGCCUGUGACGAAGCGUGAGUGACGGUAAUGGGUAAAGAAGCACCGGCUAACUACGUG